Long non-coding RNA from Bos taurus (domestic cattle), 1365 nucleotides. The record is from Ensembl. Lineage: Eukaryota; Metazoa; Chordata; Mammalia; Artiodactyla; Bovidae.
AGAUUAGAGAGGCUGCCCCUAAUCCGGCCUGCUGGGUUUUACAAGGAUCAGAGCCGCUGAUAAUGAACCUCAUUAAGGGGGAGCAGGAGCCUCAAUCCGAUUUGGGGUUUUCUCUUUGACAUCUUGCUCUGCUCAGAUGGCCUCGGCACCGGGCGGAGCAGGUGGGGUGCCAGGCCUGCUCCUCUGCUAGGGCAGCCGGGUGGGGAGGGGUUGGCCCCACUUCCCUGCUUUGAUAGCCCUGGGUCACCUCUUUAGCUGCCUGACUGCACGAGUGGAUGGCGGCUUGGAGCCUCUCUGCAGGCCUCUCAUCUUCCCCAGAGUUCCCUCUCUGUGUCCCCACUCUAGUCAUCCACCUGCCUGCCCCAUCCGCCCAGGCCGUCUCUGCUCAUCUUCCCCUGACCCACCGGGCCCUGGUUGAGAGGCUGACAGGCCCACAAGAGGGUGAAAGAGGCUCCCAGCCCCCGCCGGGCCAAGACCACUUGAGUACGCCUGUACCUCCACCACCUGGUACCUGACUUGAUGCCAGGAGCAGAGGAUUUCUACCAGACGGCCCUUACGGCUCCAGUGACCAUAUUUUCUAAAACCAAGCUCAGGCGUUCAGAAUUAGAACUAGGCUGAAAAAGCUGACUCUGCGACUACCCCCGGUGCCCAAGGCAGGGGGUAGGGCCUCACUUGGGGCCACGGGGGGCCCUGGUGGUGGUUGUGGGUCUCUGUCCUCACCUUGGCCCCUGGCAGACAGCCUGAGCAGCUUUCCACCCUGUCCCAGUCCCUCUGAUUGAUACACAGGGGUGGGCCUCCUGAGCAGGACUGCUGCCUUUCACCUUGAUUUCCCCAGGGCUCUCAGCAGCAUCAGCAUCGAUAAACCGGCUUCGCCCACCAGCUGGUCCCCUCCCCCACCCAGGCUGCCAGCCUGGAAGCCGGGGCUUCUGUGAUUUGAGCACCGCCCACCUGUCCUUCCAAGUUGUUUUCUGUACCUUAGGAGAGCUCCCCUGCAGGAGAGGGUCCUCAGAGGACCCCUGCAAAAUAAAGGGUCCUCAUUCCAGGGUCUGACAAACUCACCUCUGCCUGGUGUCAUCUGUACCUAUGCAGGGCUGGGACAGGGAGGAGGGGGCCUAGCCAGUACCAGUCAUGGGUACCAGACAGGGAGGAAGAAGUCUAGAAGUCACCAGACGAAGGAGCAGUUCCCCACAGGCGGUCGCAGAGCGGCAAGUGUUAAACGUGGCCUUCAUGGCGGAUUACCCACAUAAAGGAAGCUGUCACCUCCAGGCGUCAGGGAGAGCCUGGGGCUAAUUCUGCUUCUUCCUGGGAGAAUUCCUCUCUGUGUGCAGCCUGUGGCCUGAGCAACCCUUCCUGUCACGGCUGCCC